This 492-nucleotide ribosomal RNA is filed under the name uncultured bacterium. RNAcentral's name for it is "partial 16S ribosomal RNA". It matches the Rfam family "Bacterial small subunit ribosomal RNA", at positions 29 to 507 of the family's 1533-position model. The record is from RNAcentral.
AGUGAACGCUGGCGGUAGGCCUAACACAUGCAAGUCGAACGGCAGCACAGUAAUAGCUUGCUCUUACGGGUGGCGAGUGGCGGACGGGUGAGGAAUACAUCGGAAUCUACUUUUUCGUGGGGGAUAACGUAGGGAAACUUACGCUAAUACCGCAUACGACCUACGGGUGAAAGCAGGGGAUCUUCGGACCUUGCGCGAUUGAAUUAGCCGAUGUCGGAUUAGCUAGUUGGCGGGGUAAAGGCCCACCAAGGCGACGAUCCGUAGCUGGUCUGAGAGGAUGAUCAGCCACACUGGAACUGAGACACGGUCCAGACUCCUACGGGAGGCAGCAGUGGGGAAUAUUGGGCAAUGGGCGCAAGCCUGAUCCAGCCAUACCGCGUGGGUGAAGAAGGCCUUCGGGUUGUAAAGCCCUUUUGUUGGGAAAGAAAAGCAGCAGGUUAAUACCCCGCUGUUCUGACGGUACCCAAAGAAUAAGCACCGGCUAACUUCGUG